UACGUAGGGCGCAAGCGUUGUCCGGAAUUAUUGGGCGUAAAGAGCUCGUAGGCGGCCUGUUACGUCUGCUGUGAAAUCCCGGGGCUUAACCCCGGGCGUGCAGUGGAUACGGGCAGGCUAGAGGCAGGCAGGGGAGAAUGGAAUUCCCGGUGUAGCGGUGAAAUGCGCAGAUAUCGGGAGGAACACCGGUGGCGAAGGCGGUUCUCUGGGCCUGUACUGACGCUGAGGAGCGAAAGCGUGGGGAGCGAACAGG
Molecule: ribosomal RNA, 253 nt
Filed under: uncultured bacterium
Lineage: Bacteria
Description: partial 16S ribosomal RNA
Rfam family: Bacterial small subunit ribosomal RNA
Source: RNAcentral